GAUGAACGCUGGCGGCGUGCCUAAUACAUGCAAGUCGAGCGAACGGACGAGAAGCUUGCUUCUCUGAUGUUAGCGGCGGACGGGUGAGUAACACGUGUAUAACCUACCUAUAAGACUGGGAUAACUUCGUGAAACCGGAGCUAAUACCGGAUAAUAUUUUGAACCGCAUGGUUCAAAAGUGAAAUACGGUCUUGCUGUCACUUAUAGAUGUAUCCUCUCUGCAUUAGCUAGUUGGUAAGGUAACGGCUUACCAAGGCAACGAUGCAUAGCCGACCUGAGAGGGGGAGCGGAAACACGGGAACGGAGACACGGAACAGACGACUACGGGAGGCAGCAGUAGGGAAUAUUCCGCAAUGGGCGAAAGCAUGACGGAGCAACGCCGCGUGAGUGAUGAAGGUCUUCGGAUCGUAAAACUCUGUUAUUAGGGAAGAACAUAUGUGUAAGUAACUGUGCACAUAUUGACGGUAACUAAUAAGAAAGCCACGGCUAACUACGUG
Molecule: ribosomal RNA, 497 nt
Filed under: uncultured bacterium
Lineage: Bacteria
Description: partial 16S ribosomal RNA
Rfam family: Bacterial small subunit ribosomal RNA
Source: RNAcentral